UACGGAGGGUGCAAGCGUUAAUCGGAUUUAUUGGGCGUAAAGGGCGCGUAGGCGGGGACGUAAGUCGGAUGUGAAAUCCCGGAGCUUAACUCCGGAACUGCAUUCGAAACUGCGUCCCUAGAGGAUGGACGGAGAGGGCGGAAUUCCACAAGUAGCGGUGAAAUGCGUAGAUAUGUGGAAGAACACCUGUGGCGAAAGCGGCCUUCUAGUUUAUUGCUGACGCUGAGGCGCGAAAUCAAUGGGAGCAAACAGU
This 253-nucleotide ribosomal RNA is filed under the name uncultured bacterium. RNAcentral's name for it is "partial 16S ribosomal RNA". It matches the Rfam family "Bacterial small subunit ribosomal RNA", at positions 524 to 776 of the family's 1533-position model. The record is from RNAcentral.